GAUGAACGCUGGCGGCGUGCUUAACACAUGCAGGUCGAACGGAAAGGCCAGUGCUUGCACUGGUACUCGAGUGGCGAACGGGUGAGUAACACGUGGGUGAUCUGCCCUGCACUUCGGGAUAAGCCUGGGAAACUGGGUCUAAUACCGGAUAGGACAAUGGUUUGGAUGCCGUUGUGGAAAGUUUUUUCGGUGUGGGAUGAGCUCGCGGCCUAUCAGCUUGUUGGUGGGGUAAUGGCCUACCAAGGCGUCGACGGGUAGCCGGCCUGAGAGGGUGUACGGCCACAUUGGGACUGAGAUACGGCCCAGACUCCUACGGGAGGCAGCAGUGGGGAAUAUUGCACAAUGGGCGCAAGCCUGAUGCAGCGACGCCGCGUGGGGGAUGACGGCCUUCGGGUUGUAAACUCCUUUCGCUAGGGACGAAGCGUAUUUGUGACGGUACCUGGAGAAGAAGCACCGGCUAACUACGUG
Molecule: ribosomal RNA, 468 nt
Filed under: uncultured bacterium
Lineage: Bacteria
Description: partial 16S ribosomal RNA
Rfam family: Bacterial small subunit ribosomal RNA
Source: RNAcentral